This 210-nucleotide long non-coding RNA is filed under the name Solanum tuberosum (potato). RNAcentral's name for it is "long non-coding RNA (STUB_LNC011043)". The record is from RNAcentral. Lineage: Eukaryota; Viridiplantae; Streptophyta; Magnoliopsida; Solanales; Solanaceae.
UUAGUAGAACAAUAUAGAGACAGAAAGAGACUUACAUAUGAUAUUCAUCAACUUAGAGAUACAUGGAAGGAAACACACUAGAUCAUGACAGAUAGAUCUCAGAUACAUACAAUAACAUACUCAGAUACAUGGUAGAAAACAAUUCAUAUAUGUUUAAUAAAAAAUACAUGUACAUUUAAUAAAUAAAUCAGAUACAUGGGAUAGCGUGAC